This is a transfer RNA of Sphaerobolus stellatus SS14, 102 nucleotides long. It matches the Rfam family "tRNA". From Rfam's summary of the family: Transfer RNA (tRNA) molecules are approximately 80 nucleotides in length. Their secondary structure includes four short double-helical elements and three loops (D, anti-codon, and T loops). Lineage: Eukaryota; Fungi; Basidiomycota; Agaricomycetes; Geastrales; Sphaerobolaceae. The record is from Rfam.
GCUCCUGUGGCGCAAUGGUAGCGCGUCAGACUUCUACUUUCUAAGUUGGAAGCUGAACAUAAUUCAAUCUGAAGGCUGUGGGUUCGAGUCCCACCAGGUGCA